CUUCCUGAUGAGACCUACAUUUUACUAUUUUCUGGUACCUCUUAUGUUAGAAUUUCUUCGGAUUUUCAAUGAAUGUAACGGACUUCUGAUC
Molecule: small nucleolar RNA, 91 nt
Filed under: Pseudomassariella vexata
Lineage: Eukaryota; Fungi; Ascomycota; Sordariomycetes; Amphisphaeriales; Pseudomassariaceae
Description: A. fumigatus snoRNA Afu_264
Rfam family: A. fumigatus snoRNA Afu_264
Source: Rfam by way of RNAcentral